Molecule: long non-coding RNA, 2406 nt
Filed under: Leptinotarsa decemlineata (Colorado potato beetle)
Lineage: Eukaryota; Metazoa; Arthropoda; Insecta; Coleoptera; Chrysomelidae
Description: uncharacterized LOC111503041
Source: RNAcentral
CAGAGCGUUUUCUAUUUAUUUACACUCGUCUGAAAAUCGCAUUGACAUUUUUUUCAUGCAACAUUCAAUUUUGCGUCUGCAGGCGCGAUUACAAGGAAACGAUUGCAAAUAAGUAGAACGUAGUGAUAUUGUAUUGCAUCUACGAUUCAGUGAUUAUUUUGGUAAUUUUCAUUAUGACCAACAUUCCAAUGCUCAGAUGUAGCAUGUAUUACAUAUGUAUUCUUUAUCAGGCAUUUCAAUUCGUGAAAUAGAAAUAAUUAUUUUUAACGUGUAAUGAAUACAUGAACACACUUCUAGCUCAAUAUUUUGUAACAAUGGUAAUGGAUGACAGCUGAAAAAGUAUAGGUAUUUAAUGUAGGUAUAACGAUUCGGCAAUAUAUCUCAACCAAGUUUUUUUGACCAAUUGUUAAGCGGAAACAGUGUAAAAGACGCCAAAUUUAAAUACGAUUGAGAGAAUCAUCAAUUCGUCAAUAGUAUGAAUUUUAAUUCUAAAAAUUGACUUUUCAAUAUUACCAAUGUAAACAUAUAUUUUUUUACAGGUUGGAAAAAUUCAAUGAAUAUUCAAGUAUUCAGUGGAAAGAUAUUUUAAUCGAGUUGGAAAACUCAAAUCGUUCACUCCUAACAAUUGAGAAAAACCAUGGACAAGAAAAAAUAUAUCUGAAAUCUAAUAAAAUACUUUAUAAGCUCGACAAGAUGAUGAAAAGACAAUGGAAGCGGAAGUGAUUGCAACAAAGAACAGGAGAAAUCUUAUAACAUAAAAGGACGAGGGCUUAAUUGAUUCGAGUGCAUCUACCUGCCACAACUUAUGUAUCUGCAUUUCAAUUUUUUGAGAAAUUAAACAAGCUAUCGUAUGCGUUAUCAAAAGAGGAAUUUCUACAGGCGAAUUCAUCCUUGAAAAUUCUGCCUGAUGGAUGGUGAUCAAAACGAUGCUUUUUCCACAAUGGGGAAACUUGGUGGGUGAAGCAGCAGCUGAAUACUAAACAUAUGUAAUGACAGUGAGACAAGUGAAAUAGGAGAUACUCAAUCAAGACUCAGGAAAACAAUACCUUUGUGCAGGCUGAUGAUAUGAACCCAAGGGGUGAUCAGAACAAUCAGGCUACUCCUUCUAGUGAUAGCACUGAGUUCGAACAGUGUUUUUUGAUUAUCAAAAAUAUUUUCAAUUACUGUGUUUCAAAUUUUGAACUGCUUUUUUGACAAUCUUCAUCUUCUUUUGUUAUGUUUCUACAAGUAAUAUUAAUAAUUCAACGAAGGCUGGGUAUUUUCACCUUCCACAAUCUGAAGAAUUGUAAUAGAGAAUUUGAUACAAGUAUAGAGAGGGUAAAUUUUAUAGUUCACCCCGAUAAGUUUAUGUGUUUAUUCAAAGUAUUUUUCAAAAAGAAAAAUGUUCUAUUUAUCAGUAAUUUGUGAAUAUUUUUUUUGUGGUGUUGAUGUCCACUGGCAGAAUCAAGCAAGACUGAGAAAAAUUUAAUUUCCUAACUUUUCCAACCUUGAUAUAGCUGCAGCCUGUUCAAUUUUUUUAUCAAGUAGUUUGCCAAACAUCAGAUUGAUGGAAACUUUCAUUUCUAGACCAGUCAAAAGCAAGGAUGGUGUAUAACAUGUUGUCUUGUGUUGAGAUGUCAAUAAAAAGCAGAAUACUACAUUGGCCCAGUCCUGUUCAAGACGAACAUCAAGGGGUAUUGUUUAUUGCUCCAGGUACAUUUUUCAAUUAUUCUAUCAGACCAAUCUGUCAGAGCUACUGUUCCAAGUCUUGUCUCUAUCAAAGUCAUAAUUUUUUCUAUUCAAAAUCAUGACCCUGAUUUUCUUACAUUUCCAAAUUCAUAUCUUGUAUUUAAGUUAUGUAGUAGUGCUUCAGUUACAGUUUUUGGUCUUAGUUCAACAUGAGAUCUACAUUAGGUAAUUUGUACAACUAGUCAUCACAACUUUCGGCUUCUUGUUACAUGAUGUACUAAUAAGUAAUAGCCCUAAAAAGGCUACUAGUGAUGUGCUGUUUUAGUUAUCCAUUGAGUUUUGUUUUUGAGCUUUUGCUGAACUCGUGUUAUAGCACUUGCACUGUUCCUUCAUGUCCGAUAGCAGUUCUCCCCUCUCACACUUUUUCCAUCAUUAUUUUAAAUUGCAAAUAUUCUCGACUAUGCCAUGACGGUGGUGCUUGAGCACUGAGCAUGUUUGUUAUGGAUGUUCCUGGUACUACAGUCUCGUUUUUGUACAUUAGUCCAUCAGAACCUUGGUCAGGUUUGUUUAAUUACCAGAUUAGAUCAUCCUGAAAACAUAGCCACUCUCACUUGUUAUUUACACUUCAUUUCUAUGCGGGUAGAAUAUUUACAUGUUAUAUACUGUGGAUCCUGUAGUUAAAACUAGAAAGAAGUGUUAGAAUGAAAUGCAGAAUAAAUAAAAAAUAGAUCAAAUAUA